RNAcentral lists this ribosomal RNA (253 nucleotides) under uncultured bacterium. RNAcentral's name for it is "partial 16S ribosomal RNA". It matches the Rfam family "Bacterial small subunit ribosomal RNA", at positions 524 to 776 of the family's 1533-position model. The record is from RNAcentral.
GACAGAGGAUGCAAGCGUUAUCCGGAAUGAUUGGGCGUAAAGCGUCUGUAGGUGGUUUAUUAAGUCUACUGUUAAAGAUCAGGGCUUAACCCUGAGCAGGCAAUAGAAACUAGUAAGCUAGAGUACGGUAGGGGCAGAGGGAAUUCCCGGUGUAGCGGUGAAAUGCGUAGAGAUCGGGAAGAACACCAACGGCGAAAGCACUCUGCUGGGCCGAAACUGACACUGAGAGACGAAAGCUAGGGGAGCAAAUGGG